Molecule: ribosomal RNA, 463 nt
Filed under: uncultured Pseudomonadota bacterium
Lineage: Bacteria; Pseudomonadati; Pseudomonadota
Description: bacterial SSU rRNA
Rfam family: Bacterial small subunit ribosomal RNA
Source: RNAcentral
AGCGAACGUUGGUGGCGUGCUUAACACAUGCAAGUCGAACGCGAACGGCCACUUCGGUGGCCAAGUAGAGUGGCGAACGGGUGAGUAACACGUGAGUAACAUACCCCCAAGUGAGGAAUAACCACUCGAAAGGGUGGCUAAUACCACAUGACACCGCAGGGACUUAUGUCCUGGCGGCCAAAGCCUUGUGCGCUUGGGGAUUGGCUCGCGGUCCAUUAGGUAGUUGGUGGGGUAAAGGCCUACCAAGCCGAAGAUGGAUAGCUGGUCUGAGAGGAUGAUCAGCCACACUGGGACUGAGACACGGCCCAGACUCCUGCGGGAGGCAGCAGUGGGGAAUCUUGCGCAAUGGAGGAAACUCUGACGCAGCAACGCCACGUGUGUGACGAAGGCCCUCGGGUCGUAAAGCACUGUUAGGAGGGAAGAAGUAUGACGGUACCUCCAGAGAAAGCACCGGCUAACUCCG